GGUGGCUCAGUGGUAGAGUGCUUGCCUUGCAUGCAUGAAGCCCUGGGUUCCAUUCCUCAGCACCA
Non-coding RNA from Dipodomys ordii (Ord's kangaroo rat), 65 nucleotides. NCBI's taxonomy places the organism in Eukaryota, Metazoa, Chordata, Mammalia, Rodentia, Heteromyidae. The record is from Rfam.